RNAcentral lists this ribosomal RNA (673 nucleotides) under Ochrobactrum sp. 13.9. RNAcentral describes it as "bacterial SSU rRNA". It matches the Rfam family "Bacterial small subunit ribosomal RNA", at positions 50 to 774 of the family's 1533-position model. Lineage: Bacteria; Pseudomonadati; Pseudomonadota; Alphaproteobacteria; Hyphomicrobiales; Brucellaceae. The record is from RNAcentral.
GGCACAUGACAAGUCCAGCGCCCCGCAAGGGGAGCGGCAGACGGGUGAGUAACGCGUGGGAACGUACCAUUUGCUACGGAAUAACUCAGGGAAACUUGUGCUAAUACCGUAUGAGCCCGAAAGGGGAAAGAUUUAUCGGCAAAUGAUCGGCCCGCGUUGGAUUAGCUAGUUGGUGGGGUAAAGGCCUACCAAGGCGACGAUCCAUAGCUGGUCUGAGAGGAUGAUCAGCCACACUGGGACUGAGACACGGCCCAGACUCCUACGGGAGGCAGCAGUGGGGAAUAUUGGACAAUGGGCGCAAGCCUGAUCCAGCCAUGCCGCGUGAGUGAUGAAGGCCCUAGGGUUGUAAAGCUCUUUCACCGGUGAAGAUAAUGACGGUAACCGGAGAAGAAGCCCCGGCUAACUUCGUGCCAGCAGCCGCGGUAAUACGAAGGGGGCUAGCGUUGUUCGGAUUUACUGGGCGUAAAGCGCACGUAGGCGGGCUAAUAAGUCAGGGGUGAAAUCCCGGGGCUCAACCCCGGAACUGCCUUUGAUACUGUUAGUCUUGAGUAUGGAAGAGGUGAGUGAAUUCCGAGUGUAGAGGUGAAAUUCGUAGAUAUUCGGAGGACACCAGUGCGAGGCGGCUCACUGGUCCAUUACUGACGCUGAGGUGCGAAGCGUGGGGGAGCAAACA